This 90-nucleotide transfer RNA is filed under the name Caulobacteraceae bacterium. RNAcentral describes it as "tRNA-Ser". It matches the Rfam family "tRNA". Rfam says of the family: Transfer RNA (tRNA) molecules are approximately 80 nucleotides in length. Their secondary structure includes four short double-helical elements and three loops (D, anti-codon, and T loops). Further hydrogen bonds mediate the characteristic L-shaped molecular structure. tRNAs have two regions of fundamental functional importance: the anti-codon, which is responsible for specific mRNA codon recognition, and the 3' end, to which the tRNAs corresponding amino acid is attached (by aminoacyl-tRNA synthetases). tRNAs cope with the degeneracy of the genetic code in two manners: having more than one tRNA (with a specific anti-codon) for a particular amino acid; and 'wobble' base-pairing, i.e. permitting non-standard base-pairing at the 3rd anti-codon position. Lineage: Bacteria; Pseudomonadati; Pseudomonadota; Alphaproteobacteria; Caulobacterales; Caulobacteraceae. The record is from RNAcentral.
GGAGAGGUGGCUGAGUGGUUGAAAGCACCGCACUCGAAAUGCGGCAUACCCGCAAGGGUAUCGCGGGUUCGAAUCCCGCCCUCUCCGCCA